CUGGGUGAGAGCAGAGGGCUCUGCCAGGAUAAUGAGUGCUACCCUUGGGGCCUGCCCUGGGCAAAUAAGUAAGAAAGUUUGUCUUCAACAGCUGCACCCCCACCUCACCGCCUCGGUCUGCAACCUCUUCCUCAGUCCCAUAGUUUCUUUUCUCCACUUUUUCCCCAAAGGCUUAAGGCCCAGACAAAGACACUCAGUGCUCCAGUUCUGCGACAGGGACCCUCCAGCUGCAGUGCAUGGGGAGCUGCGUGAGUCAGCCUGGCAUGGACUGUCUUAUGUCGUAAUUACAGAAAAGGAAACAAGAUUGCUUCAGAUUUAUAAAAACUGGAAGGUUCUAUUGCUGCACGUGAACAGAUUCUGUUCCAGGAUCCCGUGCCUCCAGUAACCCAUGCUUUCAUUUUAACAUGGAACAAAAGCGAACUUUAUAAGCUUGCCUGUCUAAAGGGAAUAUGCCCCUGCUCUUUAGCCUUUUGCUUCAGGGAGUUAGAGGAAUGAGUGCGAAGUGAGGGUGUGAAAAAGAGGCUAGACACAGCAGUGCUGCCUGCUGAAUUAUUUUCCAUCUGGAGGGAAGGCUGUCGCUUUCGGUAUAUUCCUCAAAGGAAGAAAGAAUGGUAGUGAACUCAAUCAAGUUUCGAUAUUACCUUGUAGUAGAUUUAAUAAGAAGGAAAAUGACUUGAGUCACAGUGCUGAGGGCUUGGGCAAGGCCCAGUGUAUUGGGAUGAUCUGAUGCACUCUUUCCUGGAUUUAUCUGAAUCUUUGCAGAAAGCAGAGAAGGGGUUGGAGCACCAUGUUGGUCCUGACAGUAGUAGAAAGAGGGAGGUGUAUGAAAAAUGCGGCACGCAUGCGUAUGGUGGAGACGGGCAUAGCCACACGUAUUGGAGACAGUUUAGCAGACUAGUUAGGAGUAUAGGUGCUGACAAUAAACUGCUUGGGCUCAAGAGUUUUCUCUUGCUAGCUGUAGGCCUUGGGCAAAUUACUCAGCCUCUUGAAGUUUCUGUUAACCUCUCUGAGUUUACUGUUCCUCAUCUGUAAGGUUGGGAUAAUAGUGGUACAAAUCUCAUAAGGGUUUUUGAGUAUUAACUUGAGAUGAUUCAUGUAAAGCACUCAGCCUAUAAUAAGGGAAUCAUUAUGAUGAGUAAAUAUAUCCACUGCAGAUGACAUUGCUAUUAGAUGGAGGUAAGGACCUCAACGUGAUGAAUGGAUUUGGUGAGCAGAGCAGUGGAGGAUCUGAAACUGGCGAAUCCCAGGCCACUGAAGCGGAGCACGCGAACUUAACUGCUAUGCCACUAGGCCAGCCCCCUCAAGGAUACUUAUUUUAUACUUCAAGUGGUAAUCUAAUAUUAUUUUAUUCAUUUUGUUGCUCAAAUUCUUCCAGUUUUGGCCACUAGGAGUUCUUUCAGUUGGCUCAUAUGUUCCUUUGACACCCCCCCAUAUUUUUCUGUUUUUUAGCCAUCUUUUAUUUUCUGGCAUUCCAAGGGAUUCCCAGCUCAUCUUGUAUAUUUCCUGCCUCUGUCCUAGAAUCAACCAUUUCUCUAAGGGGCCUGGUUUCUCUUACUGGAGAGUGCAAUUAGAAACCAAGAUGUGAGUACUAUGUGUGCUCAUCGCUAUUGGGAUGUUAUUGCUUUUAGGCCCUCUCAGCUGCAGAGCAAGGAAAUAUGUGCAUGUAUACUAACCUUCAUAUAUAUAAAUAUCCAUAAAUUUUUCUUCCUAUGUGUAUCCGUCUGUAUCUAUAUCAAGGUAAACAUGAGUUCAUAUCAAUGUCUCCAACUCUCAUCCAUUACUAAUGGAUCAUUUCCUUGCUUAUCUGUAAUCACCUGCUCAAACAGUGAGAAACCUAGCUUCCAUCUUUGGCCAUGCAUUCACUUAAUUUGUUCAAUUCCAGUAUACAUGUAUAGUGGUUUCAAAAUGUUAACCUGUACCCCACGGGGGCACAACAUUAUCAAUUAGAGUACAGUGCUUAUGAAUGGUUCUUUUUGCCUUUAAUCUUACAGAGUCUACUCAUUUACAAAGUUAUUUAGAUCACUACCUUUCCCCCACAUUCAGUGAAGUUGUCUCAUUCAUUUGUAACACAGUGUGGUUGGUGGAUCAUAUGUUAAAACUAUGUUUAGCUUUGUAAGAAAUUGCCAAACUGUCUUCCAAAGUGUCUGUACCAUUUUACGUUCCUACCAGCAAUGAAUGAGACUUCCUGUUGUUUUGCAACCUCACCAGCAAUUGAUGUUGUCAUUUUUUUGAAUUUUAGAUAUUCUAAUAGGUAUG
Long non-coding RNA from Equus caballus (horse), 2256 nucleotides. The record is from Ensembl. NCBI's taxonomy places the organism in Eukaryota, Metazoa, Chordata, Mammalia, Perissodactyla, Equidae.